AUCUUUCUAGUAUCAAAUAAAUACAAGUGACUUCCAAUUACUUAAUCCUGGUUAGAGCCCAGGGAAAGAUA
RNAcentral lists this transfer RNA (71 nucleotides) under Echidna nebulosa (snowflake moray). RNAcentral describes it as "tRNA-Gly". It matches the Rfam family "tRNA". From Rfam's summary of the family: Transfer RNA (tRNA) molecules are approximately 80 nucleotides in length. Their secondary structure includes four short double-helical elements and three loops (D, anti-codon, and T loops). Further hydrogen bonds mediate the characteristic L-shaped molecular structure. tRNAs have two regions of fundamental functional importance: the anti-codon, which is responsible for specific mRNA codon recognition, and the 3' end, to which the tRNAs corresponding amino acid is attached (by aminoacyl-tRNA synthetases). tRNAs cope with the degeneracy of the genetic code in two manners: having more than one tRNA (with a specific anti-codon) for a particular amino acid; and 'wobble' base-pairing, i.e. permitting non-standard base-pairing at the 3rd anti-codon position. Lineage: Eukaryota; Metazoa; Chordata; Actinopteri; Anguilliformes; Muraenidae. The record is from RNAcentral.